AGAGUUUGAUCAUGGCUCAGNNNNAACGCUGGCGGCAGGCCUAACACAUGCAAGUCGAACGGGCACCUUCGGGUGUCAGUGGCAGACGGGUGAGUAACGCGUGGGAACGUGCCCAUCGGUUCGGGAUAACCCAGGGAAACUUGGGCUAAUACCGGAUACGCCCUUUUGGGGAAAGAUUUAUUGCCGAUGGAUCGGCCCGCGUCUGAUUAGCUAGUUGGUGAGGUAACGGCUCACCAAGGCGACGAUCAGUAGCUGGUCUGAGAGGAUGAUCAGCCACACUGGGACUGAGACACGGCCCAGACUCCUACGGGAGGCAGCAGUGGGGAAUAUUGGACAAUGGGCGCAAGCCUGAUCCAGCCAUGCCGCGUGAGUGAUGAAGGCCUUAGGGUUGUAAAGCUCUUUCACCCACGACGAUAAUGACGGUAGUGGGAGAAGAAGCCCCGGCUAACUUCGUGCCAGCAGCCGCGGUAAUACGAAGGGGGCUAGCGUUGCUCGGAAUCACUGGGCGUAAAGGGCGCGUAGGCGGCCGAUCAAGUCAGGGGUGAAAGCCUGUGGCUCAACCACAGAAUUGCCUUUGAUACUGUUUGGCUCGAGACCGGAAGAGGUUGGUGGAACUGCGAGUGUAGAGGUGAAAUUCGUAGAUAUUCGCAAGAACACCAGUGGCGAAGGCGGCCAACUGGUCCGGUUCUGACGCUGAGGCGCGAAAGCGUGGGGAGCAAACAGGAUUAGAUACCCUAGUAGUCC
Molecule: ribosomal RNA, 744 nt
Filed under: uncultured bacterium
Lineage: Bacteria
Description: bacterial SSU rRNA
Rfam family: Bacterial small subunit ribosomal RNA
Source: RNAcentral